GACGAACGCUAGCGGCGCGCUUAACACAUGCAAGUCGAACGGAAAGGCCUGCUUUCCCUUGUGGAUUGCGGGUACUCGAGUGGCGAACGGGUGAGUAACACGUGAGUGAUCUGCCCCCAACUUGGGUAUAAGCCUGGGAAACUGGGUCUAAUUCCCGAUAGGACUGCAGGGUGGUGCCUGUGGUGGAAAACGAUUUUCUAGUGGUUGGGGAUGAGCUCGCGGCCUAUCAGCUUGGUGGUGGGGUAAUGACCUACCAAGGCGGCGACGGGUAGCCGGCCUGAGAAGGGUGACGGGCAACUUGGGACUGGGGUACCGGCCCGAACCCUAACGGAGGCCGCAGGUGGGAAUAUUGCACCAGUGGCGGAAGGCCGAUGCAGCGGCGCCGGGGGGGGGAUGACGGCCUUCGGGUUGUAAACUCCUUUCGACCGCGAGGAAGCCACCUGGUUGGAAGGGUGGUGACGGUAGUGGUAGAAGAAGCACCGGCUAACUACGUG
This 494-nucleotide ribosomal RNA is filed under the name uncultured bacterium. RNAcentral's name for it is "partial 16S ribosomal RNA". It matches the Rfam family "Bacterial small subunit ribosomal RNA", at positions 28 to 507 of the family's 1533-position model. The record is from RNAcentral.